GGUUUUUGUGGAACAGCUCAUGCACAUUUUAUUCCAUGAGUUGUCCCACAAAGAACAC
Molecule: microRNA precursor, 58 nt
Filed under: Patiria miniata (bat star)
Lineage: Eukaryota; Metazoa; Echinodermata; Asteroidea; Valvatida; Asterinidae
Description: Pmi-Mir-2009_pre stem-loop
Source: RNAcentral